CCUACGGGAUGCAGCAGUGGGGAAUUUUGGGCAAUGGGCGCAAGCCUGACCCAGCAACGCCGCGUGAAGGAAGACGGCUUUCGGGUUGUCAACUUCUUUUUUCAGGGACGAAACAAGUGACGGUACCUGACGAAUAAGCCACCGCUAACUACGUGCCAGCAGCCGCGGUAAUACGUAGGUGGCAAGCGUUAUCCGGAUUUCAUUGGUGUAAAGGGCGUGUAGGCGGGACUGCAAGUCAGAUGUGAAAACCACGGGCUCAACCUGUGGCCUGCAUUUGAAACUGUAGUUCUUGAGUACUGGAGAGGCAGACGGAAGUCCUAGUGUAGCGGUGAAAUGCGUAGAUAUUAGGAGGAACACCAGUGGCGAAGGCGGGCUGCUGGACAGCAACUGACGCUGAGGCGCGAAAGCGUGGGGAGCAAACAGGAUUAGAUACCCGAGUAGUC
Molecule: ribosomal RNA, 443 nt
Filed under: uncultured bacterium
Lineage: Bacteria
Description: partial 16S ribosomal RNA
Rfam family: Bacterial small subunit ribosomal RNA
Source: RNAcentral